RNAcentral lists this long non-coding RNA (672 nucleotides) under Vitis vinifera (wine grape). RNAcentral describes it as "long non-coding RNA (VVIN_LNC006388)". Lineage: Eukaryota; Viridiplantae; Streptophyta; Magnoliopsida; Vitales; Vitaceae. The record is from RNAcentral.
ACAAGUCCUUUCAGUUGAAACUUGUGGCAACAAAGCCCUUGUGUGUUCAGCUCAUGGUGAAGGGUUCCAAUCCCCUCAAAAAUUUGGAACAACUUGUAUUAAAUCUGCAGAUGAAACUGACUGUGCAUCUGAUCCUUUGAAUCCUCCCCUGUAUGCUGAACAAGUCCUUUUAGUUGAAACUUGUGAGAUCAAAACACCUGCUUGUUCAGUUCAUGGUGAAGGGUUCCAAUCUCCCCAAAAAUUGGGAACAAGUUGUAGUAACUCCGCAGAUGAAACUGACUGUGCGUCUGAUCCUUUGAACCCUCUCCUGUCUGCUGAACAAGUCCUUCCAGUUGAAACUUGUGAGAACAAAGCACCUGCUUGUUCAGUUCAUUGUGAAGGGUUCCAACCCCUGGAAAAAUUGGGAACAAGUUGUAGUAACUCUGCAGAUGAAACUGACUCUGCAUCUGAUCCAUUGAAUCCUCUCCUGUCGACUGAACAAGUCCUUCCAGUUGAAACUAAUGAGAACAAAGCACCUGCUUGUUCAGUUCAUGGUGAGGGGUUCCAAUCCCCUGAAAAAUUGGGAAAAACUUGUAGUGACUCUGCAGAUGAAACUGGCUGUGCAUCUGAUCCUUUGAAUCCUCUCCCAUCUGCUGAACAAGUCCUUUCAGUUGAAACUUGUGAAAACAAGGC